Molecule: long non-coding RNA, 1215 nt
Filed under: Falco tinnunculus (common kestrel)
Lineage: Eukaryota; Metazoa; Chordata; Aves; Falconiformes; Falconidae
Description: lncRNA (ENSFTIG00000013460.1)
Source: RNAcentral
GGGGGGUCGGGGAAAUUAAAGGACAAGGAACUGGAGCCAGGCAGGGGGAGCGGGGACGCUGCUGUGUCGUCGUUGUCGUCGUCGUGUCGUUCCCCCGGGUGCCAACGUGCCCCAGGGCAUGGAAACUCUCCCUGCCAGUGGGCAGCUCCUGCCUGUGCUGCCAGACACGUGGAGCGGCUUUUGCUCGGGCAGGAGGUCGGGAUCUCAGGCUGCAAACCGCCCGGGAGGAGGUGGGGGGCAGACCGGUGAGGUUUUGGGGUUUUGCCUCCCCCCUCCAGGUUUGCGACACCGAGCUGUCCAUGCAUGGGAUUUCGGGAAGCAUCUGGCGCGGGGCUGACGUCGCCGAGGUCGUGUGCUCAGCUUUGCCAGCGUUCCGUGUUCCCGGUGUCACCUUCCCGGUUGGAGGGGGGUGGGGGGUGGUUUGCAGCCGGGAUCGAUGAGCUCUGGGAAGUCAACCCAAGGAAGAUGGGAAAGAAGGGGGGCUUUGCCUGGCCGGGGCAGCUCCUUUACUACGCGCUCGAUACGUCUGGGCAUCGCUCCAGGGCACGUCCCGUGGGAUGCCCGCCCGGGCAUCCCCUUCCUGUGGCAGAGGUCUGUUCCCUGUGCCCGGUCCCAGCGCGGCAGCGAGCGAUAAAGUAGGUCAGGCGCUGGGCUGUGCGCGGCACCACGGCUCUCCGGGCCCCAGGAGCAGGUCCCGUGGCCGUCAAGAGGACGCCCUUGAAGGGUGGCUCCCGACAAGGCGAGGGACGUGGGGAGCGCUCAGCCGGCACGGAGAGGGAAAGGCACCCAACAUCCCCAUCCUGGGGUACGGUGCCACCGGGACAGGCCUUUGCCACCGUAGGCUGUGUGCCAGCGCUUGUGUACCUUGUGGGAGUCACCAGCCACCCAGAUGUCCCACGUGGCCACCUGGGCUGGUGGCUGUGACCACGGGGCACUGCCCAGGGAGGACUGGUCUGGAAGGGUGGAUUUGGGUAGGGGGGAGGCAGGGGAAGGUGUCCAGCUCUCGCUGUGGGGGUGCUGAAGAGGCAGAGGUCCUUCGGGUACCCCCACCGAGCAGGGUGUUGCCAGCACCUCCCCAGAUGAGGUGUCCCCCCCCCCCGUUUUGGGAGGAGAGGGGUUAAGCCAAAGCAUCCGAGCUAAGCUCUGGCAGGAGGUAGCUAAAACCUCCCAGGCCUGCGAGCUCUCCUGGAGAACAAAGCUCGCAAAGUGGUGGUA